This 403-nucleotide ribosomal RNA is filed under the name Verrucomicrobiota bacterium. Its description in RNAcentral is "Verrucomicrobia bacterium partial 16S ribosomal RNA". It matches the Rfam family "Bacterial small subunit ribosomal RNA", at positions 355 to 776 of the family's 1533-position model. Lineage: Bacteria; Pseudomonadati; Verrucomicrobiota. The record is from RNAcentral.
UGGGGAAUAUUGCACAAUGGGGGAAACCCUGAUGCAGCGACGCCGCGUGAGCGAAGAAGGCCUUCGGGUCGUAAAGCUCUUUUAUGAGGGAAGAUAAUGACGGUACCUCAAGAAAAAGCCCCGGCUAAAUACGUGCCAGCAGCCGCGGUAAUACGUAUGGGGCGAGCGUUGUCCGGAAUUAUUGGGCGUAAAGGGUACGUAGGCGGUCUAUUAAGUCAGGUGUGAAAGCGUGAGGCUUAACCUCAUUAAGCACUUGAAACUGAUAGACUUGAGUGAAGGAGAGGAAAGUGGAAUUCCUAGUGUAGCGGUGAAAUGCGUAGAUAUUAGGAGGAAUACCGGUGGCGAAGGCGACUUUCUGGACUUUUACUGACGCUCAGGUACGAAAGCGUGGGGAGCAAACAGG